RNAcentral lists this transfer RNA (75 nucleotides) under Candidatus Bathyarchaeota archaeon. Its description in RNAcentral is "tRNA-Arg". It matches the Rfam family "tRNA". Rfam says of the family: Transfer RNA (tRNA) molecules are approximately 80 nucleotides in length. Lineage: Archaea; Thermoproteati; Candidatus Bathyarchaeota. The record is from RNAcentral.
GGGCCCGUAGCUCAGCUAGGAUAGAGCGCUGGCCUUCUAAGCCAGAAGCCGCGGGUUCGAGUCCCGCCGGGCCCG